RNAcentral lists this ribosomal RNA (883 nucleotides) under Scyphosphaera apsteinii. RNAcentral describes it as "partial Bacterial large subunit ribosomal RNA". It matches the Rfam family "Bacterial large subunit ribosomal RNA", at positions 1087 to 1961 of the family's 2925-position model. Lineage: Eukaryota; Haptophyta; Coccosphaerales; Pontosphaeraceae. The record is from RNAcentral.
AGACAGCUAGGAGGUUGGCUUAGAAGCAGCCACCCUUUAAAGAAAGCGUAAUAGCUCACUAGUCGAGUCGGCCUGCGCGGAAGAUGUAACGGGGCUAAGCAAUAUACCGAAGCUGCGGCAGCACGUAAGUGCUGGGUAGGGGAGCGUUGUGUAAGUGGAUGAAGGUGAAUCGAGAGGUUUGCUGGACAUAUCACAAGUGCGAAUGCUGACAUGAGUAACGAUAAUGGGGGUGAAAAACCCCCACGCCGGAAGACCAAGGUUUCCUGUCCCAUGCUAAUCAGGGCAGGGUAAGUCGGCCCCUAAGGCGAGGCAGAAAUGCGUAGUCGAUGGGAAACGGGUUAAUAUUCCCGUACUUUUAUAUACAGUGAUGGGGUGACGGAGAAGGCUAGGCUGGCGUGGCGUUGGUUGUCCACGUGAAAGUGCGUAGAUUGAGUGUUUUGGUAAAUCCGGACACUCUUAAGGUCGAGACACGAGACGAGCGACUACGGUCGUGAAGCAGUUGAUGCCCGGCUUCCAGGAAAAACUUCUAAGCUUCAGAUAAUGUGAGACCGUACCCCAAACCGACACAGGUGGUCAGGUAGAGAAUACUAAGGCGCUUGAGAGAACUCGGGUGAAGGAACUCGGCAAAAUAGUACCGUAACUUCGGGAGAAGGUACACCGCUGACGGUGAUGAGACUUGCUCUCUAAGCUGUUGGAGGUCUAAGAAACCAGAUGGCUGCGACUGUUUAUUAAAAACAUAGCACUCUGCAAACACGAAAGUGGACGUAUAGGGUGUGACGCCUGCCCGGUGCCGGAAGGUUAAUUGAUGGGGUUAGCGUAAGCGAAGCUCUUGAUCGAAGCCCCGGUAAACGGCGGCCGUAACAAUAACGGUCCUAAGGUAGCG